Molecule: ribosomal RNA, 253 nt
Filed under: uncultured bacterium
Lineage: Bacteria
Description: partial 16S ribosomal RNA
Rfam family: Bacterial small subunit ribosomal RNA
Source: RNAcentral
UACGUAGGGUGCGAGCGUUAAUCGUAAUUACUGGGCGUAAAGCGUGCGCAGGCGGCUUGCUAAGACAGGUGUGAAAGCCCCGAGCUUAACUUGGGAAUGGCGCUUGUGACUGGCAGGCUGGAGUGUGGCAGAGGGAGGUGGAAUUCCACGUGUAGCAGUGAAAUGCGUAGAGAUGUGGAGGAACACCGAUGGCGAAGGCAGCCUCCUGGGCCAACACUGACGCUCAUGCACGAAAGCGUGGGGAGCAAACAGG